UACGUAGGGGGCAAGCGUUGUCCGGAUUUAUUGGGCGUAAAGAGCGUGUAGGCGGCCAUACAGGUCCGUUGUGAAAACUCGAGGCUUAACCUCGAGACGUCGAUGGAAACCGUAUGGCUAGAGUCCGGAAGAGGAGAGUGGAAUUCCUGGUGUAGCGGUGAAAUGCGCAGAUAUCAGGAAGAACACCCGUGGCGAAGGCGGCUCUCUGGGACGGUACUGACGCUGAGGCGCGAAAGCGUGGGGAGCGAACAGG
RNAcentral lists this ribosomal RNA (253 nucleotides) under uncultured bacterium. RNAcentral describes it as "partial 16S ribosomal RNA". It matches the Rfam family "Bacterial small subunit ribosomal RNA", at positions 524 to 776 of the family's 1533-position model. The record is from RNAcentral.